GACGAACGCUGGCGGCGUGCUUAACACAUGCAAGUCGAACGAUGAAGCCGGAGCUUGCUCUGGUGAAUUAGUGGCGAACGGGUGAGUAACACGUGAGUAACCUGCCCUUGACUCUGGGAUAACUGCGGGAAACUGUAGCUAAUACCGGAUACGACCCUCGGAGGCAUCUCCUGGGGGUGGAAAGAAUUUCGGUCAAGGAUGGACUCGCGGCCUAUCAGCUAGUUGGUGAGGUAAAGGCUCACCAAGGCGACGACGGGUAGCCGGCCUGAGAGGGGAACCGGCCACACUGGGACUGAGACACGGCCCAGACUCCUACGGGAGACAGCAGUGGGGAAUAUUGCACAAUGGGCGCAAGCCUGAUGCAGCAACGCCGCGUGAGGGAUGACGGCCUUCGGGUUGUAAACCUCUUUUAGCAGGGAAGAAGCGAAAGUGACGGUACCUGCAGAGAAAGCACCGGCUAACUACGGGCCAGCCGCCGCCGUAA
This 484-nucleotide ribosomal RNA is filed under the name uncultured bacterium. RNAcentral's name for it is "partial 16S ribosomal RNA". It matches the Rfam family "Bacterial small subunit ribosomal RNA", at positions 28 to 523 of the family's 1533-position model. The record is from RNAcentral.